GGGUCCAGACAGCAGCAUCCCUGAGGGCCCAGAGAGGUGGCCAGUCCUGUGGUGAGGUUGAGAGGUGUCAACGUGCUGGUGGUCCUCGCUCGCUCUCAGCGCCUCCUCGGCCUCAGCUUCUGCUCUGACCACACUUGAGGAGCCCUUCAGCCCAGCGCUGCACUGUGGGAGCCCCUCUCUGGACUGGUGGAGGCUGGAGCCGGCUCCGUCUGCUUGCGGGGAGUAAGUCUUGCUGCUGCUGCUCCCUCAUUGGGUCCACACUGCCUUUAUGAGUUGUAACACUGGAAGGACUGCAGUUUCACUCCUGAGGCCAGUGAGACCACAAACCCACCAGGAAGAAUGAACAACUCCGUACGUGCAGCCUUAAGAGCCGUAACACUCACUGUGAAGGUCUGCAGCUUCACUCCUGAAGCCAGCAAGACCACGCACCCACCAGAAGGAAGAAACUCUGAACACGUCUUAACAUCAGAAGGAACAAACUCUGAACACACCAUCUUUAAGAACUGUAACACUCACCGUGAGGGUCCACGGCUUCAUUCUUGAAGUCAGUGAGACCAAGAACCCACCAAUUUUGGACACAAGGUGACAGGCUGAGGGCGGUGGCUCGGUCCUGGGUUUUCCUGGGGCCUUC
Molecule: long non-coding RNA, 631 nt
Organism: Homo sapiens (human)
Lineage: Eukaryota; Metazoa; Chordata; Mammalia; Primates; Hominidae
Source: Ensembl